This 73-nucleotide transfer RNA is filed under the name Hypogeophis rostratus. Its description in RNAcentral is "tRNA-Thr". It matches the Rfam family "tRNA". From Rfam's summary of the family: Transfer RNA (tRNA) molecules are approximately 80 nucleotides in length. Their secondary structure includes four short double-helical elements and three loops (D, anti-codon, and T loops). Lineage: Eukaryota; Metazoa; Chordata; Amphibia; Gymnophiona; Indotyphlidae. The record is from RNAcentral.
GUUUAAGUAGCUUAAUUUUAAAAGCACCAGCCUUGUAAGCUGGAGAAUAGAGGCUAAUAACCUCUCCUAAACU